CAUCUCAGGACGCCUGAGAGACCCACACUGCUAUACAUUGGAAGGCGGACAGACUCCCCUCCUGGAGGAGGUGGAGAUAGGUGAAAACUCUCCGACCCUGACCCCUGAACAGCCUAGUACCUGCAAGCGGCUUUCUUUCAGCGGACGCCCCCAGAACAUUGCCACACACCAAGGGCAGGAGGGAGCAAACACCAGAGGAGCGACAGUGGAAACAGCUAGAGAGCACAGAAGAACCUGAACUGGCCUCUGUUCCUGCUGAUGUGAACACCUGGUGGACUAAGCGCAGAAGAUGGAGGAACGACAGGGCAUGGUGUCCACGACAAGGAAGACGUCACUCUGCCUCUUCUCCUGCUUCUCCAGGGAUGUGAUGACCUUCAGGAAAAAACCUCUGUGGAUAUCUGUCACCAGGUGAAGAGAGAAAAGGAUACUCUGUAGUCUCAAGGACCACAACUCCAGACGGUCAACACCUCGAGACCUCCCC
This 481-nucleotide long non-coding RNA is filed under the name Equus asinus (donkey). RNAcentral's name for it is "lncRNA (ENSEASG00005029007.1)". The record is from RNAcentral. Lineage: Eukaryota; Metazoa; Chordata; Mammalia; Perissodactyla; Equidae.